Anas platyrhynchos (mallard) is the source of this 955-nucleotide non-coding RNA. Lineage: Eukaryota; Metazoa; Chordata; Aves; Anseriformes; Anatidae. The record is from RefSeq and is a predicted model, not a curated record.
CAUCUUGAUGACGCUCUGUGAUGCGUUGCUUGUUGCCUGGGUAGCGAUUGUUAGCUAUUAUGCAAAUGGCUUGUCAUCAAUCGGGGAUGUGGCUGCUCCUCCCUAUAAAUGGGCCAAGGGGGGCAGUGGGAGCCAGAGUGUUGGAGAGGGGAGAUGGGAGAAGGUGGAAACAGAAAAGGAGGAGGAUGAGGAAGAGGCAUAGGUGGAAAAGGGGGAGUAAGAGAGGAAGGGGGCAGUGGAGGAGGUGGCGGAGGAGGAGGUGGCGGAGAAGAUUGAGGAGGUGGCGGCAUGAGUAGGAGUGGUGACAAAAGAGGAGGGGUUGUCAUUCGUGGACAAAUACUGGGUUAAGUACACCAUCGCUGCAAGAGGAGCACAAGCUACCUGCAAAUGGGCAAAUAUACCUCUGCAAGUUUUCUUACAAGGGAUUAAGACAAAAAGGCCUGUGCCUGGCAGAGGGAGCACUGAACGAUGAUCUAGCAAAGCAGUCUAUCGCAGACAGACAACACUGGCCCGGAAAUCCUGCUGGAAAAUUUGGUGUACCUGAAACUGAGACGGAAAUUGGAACUUCCAACAAAACGCUGUAGGGUAGAAGUUGUUUUAGCUGAACAUACUGGGCACAUAUUUGAGUGCAAAAGGACCAUGGCACUGUGACCCUGUAAGGUAGCAGCUGGCGGCUCCUAUCAUCUUGAUGACGCUCUGUGAUGCAUUGCUUGUUGCCUGGGUAGCGAUUGUUAGCUAUUAUGCAAAUGGCUUGUCAUCAAUCAAGGGUGUGGCUGCUCCUCCCUAUAAAAGGGCCAAAGGGGGGCAGUGGGAGCCAGAGUAUUGGAGAGUGGAGAUGGGAGAAGGUGGAAAAAGAAAAGGAGGAGGAUGAGGAAGAGGCAUAGGUGGAAAAGGGGGAGUAAGAGAACAAGGGGGCAGUGGAGGAGGUGGUGGCGGUGGAGGAGGUGGUGGUGGC